GACAGAGGUCCCGAGCGUUAGACGGAAUCACUGGGCUUAAAGCGUGUGUAGGCGGAUGGGUAAGUACCUUGUGAAAUCCCAACAGCUCAACUGUGGAACUGCUUGGUAUACUGCUUGUCUUGAGCCACUUAGGGGCAACCGGAACGAAAUGGUGGAGCGGUGAAAUGCGUAGAUAUCAUUUGGAACGCCAAUGGUGAAAACAGGUUGCUGGGAGUGAUGCUGACGCUGAGACACGAAAGCCAGGGGAGCGAAACGGG
Molecule: ribosomal RNA, 257 nt
Filed under: uncultured bacterium
Lineage: Bacteria
Description: partial 16S ribosomal RNA
Rfam family: Bacterial small subunit ribosomal RNA
Source: RNAcentral